Vigna radiata var. radiata (mung bean) is the source of this 204-nucleotide long non-coding RNA. RefSeq lists it as uncharacterized. NCBI's taxonomy places the organism in Eukaryota, Viridiplantae, Streptophyta, Magnoliopsida, Fabales, Fabaceae. The transcript has 3 exons. The record is from RefSeq and is a predicted model, not a curated record.
GGUUAUGUGUGGACUGAAAAUGAGAGGGCCAAAAUAAAGGAGAGGAUUGAUAAAUUUGUCAAAGAAAAGUUGUUGUACUUCUGUGAUGUUCUUAAUAUUCAGAUAAACAAGGCCAAUGCAAAAAAGGAGGAGCUGUCUACAAAGUAGUUGGAAUUUUUGGAGUCCCCACAUGCUACAACUGACAUUCUACUUGUUGAUAUAGAG